Molecule: ribosomal RNA, 253 nt
Filed under: uncultured bacterium
Lineage: Bacteria
Description: partial 16S ribosomal RNA
Rfam family: Bacterial small subunit ribosomal RNA
Source: RNAcentral
UACGAAGGGGGCUAGCGUUGUUCGGAUUUACUGGGCGUAAAGGGCGCGUAGGCGGGCUCAUAAGUCAGGGGUGAAAUCCCAAGGCUCAACCUUGGAACUGCCUUUGAUACUGUGGGUCUUGAGUUCGAGAGAGGUAAGUGGAACUGCGAGUGUAGAGGUGAAAUUCGUAGAUAUUCGCAAGAACACCAGUGGCGAAGGCGGCUCACUGGCCCGAUACUGACGCUGAGGCACGAAAGCGUGGGGAGCAAACAGG